RNAcentral lists this unclassified non-coding RNA (680 nucleotides) under Hevea brasiliensis (rubber tree). The record is from RNAcentral. Lineage: Eukaryota; Viridiplantae; Streptophyta; Magnoliopsida; Malpighiales; Euphorbiaceae.
GAUGAACUAGAUGUGGUAUUGAUGGACAUAGAUGACAUUCUUCCUUCAAAUCCUCAAUACGACCAUCCCUUGAUAUUGAAUCAGUGUGGCUCUAAGUGUUGUUUUGAAGAAGCAAAACAUUUGAAGGAAAUGAUUUUUCUAAGAUUAUAUACAGAGCUUCAAGCUAGAGGGUGGUCUUUUAUUUUGUUAUCAAGGAAGCCUGAUACACUACGAAAUGCCUCCAUAGAUCACCUUAUUUCUGCAGGAUACAGAGGUUGGUCUUCAGUGAUUAUGAGAUCGGAUGAUGAAAUGGAAAUGGAUAGUCGUGAAUAUUUUUUGAGACGAAGGUUGAUAAUGCAGAGAAAGGGCUUCCGUAUCGCAUGUGUGAUUAGCAGCCAGAUGGAUGCAUUAACAGGCCCCUUUUCAGGACAACGCAUUUUUAAGCUUCCUAACCCGAUGUGUUAUUAUUCCAAUCAUCCGAUGGAGAAAAUGUAUGCACCAAAAUUAUGAUGUUCCUUGUUAGCACCUUGAUUUGUUAUUCAGUAGUUCUACAGUUUCUCGCUGUAAAGCCUGCUCGGCCUUUAUCUGAACUACCUGGGUUCUCCUUAAGUAUUUUGUUGUAUAUAGGUAUUGAUAUCAUUGGUUUGAUCGAGUUCAUCACAAUUAUCAUUCAUAUUAUGUGCUAAAAAAUACUUAAGGAG